Molecule: long non-coding RNA, 449 nt
Organism: Esox lucius (northern pike)
Lineage: Eukaryota; Metazoa; Chordata; Actinopteri; Esociformes; Esocidae
Source: Ensembl
UAAAAUUGUCGAGGGUGGUGCCCUUGCGCUUACAACAGCAUCAUAGACCCCAGAGAUGCCGUCUCGAUCUAUCUCUGUGGACGCGCUUUUCCUAGAUAUUGUAGCGGGCUAGCAGCAAAGUGUAGGUAAGAAAGUGUAGUGUAAGUCUAGCAUAGAAUUUUAAAGGAAAUAUAAAUGACAACUAAUAUCGCCGCUAGGACAGUCUAUAUUUGGACCUCGUAGGUGUGUGUGCUCUUGUCCCUGUCAGGAAGGUGUGGCCAAUAGCCAGUCCAUGUGGAGCAGGCACAGAGAAGAGGACAACCAGAACUAACUGAGACAGAUUGAUGACGUACAUCUAAACCAGACCAACCAGUACAUUUAGUCCCUGGACCAACCAGUAAUAUUCCCUCCCUGGACCAAGAGGAUUGUCAUUUCCUACAUGCUGAAAUCUGCUUUGGUAGAAAUACAAG